AGCUCGAUAGGACGUCGCAUCUUAUGCCCACAUAUCUUGUCUGGAACAAGAAUCAGAGCCACUGUAGUUCGGCUUACGCACGCCAAACAACACAAAACAUACAAACAGAUGGCAAACAUGGAGCCCGACAACCACUGGAUGGGAUUACGUCGGCAUCCGAACCAAAACACACUCAAAAGGGCAAACGUGGAGCCCGACAGCCAAUCACUGGACUUACGUCGGC
This 223-nucleotide long non-coding RNA is filed under the name Lathyrus oleraceus (garden pea). RNAcentral describes it as "Pisum sativum (pea) long non-coding RNA (PSAT_LNC010883)". The record is from RNAcentral. Lineage: Eukaryota; Viridiplantae; Streptophyta; Magnoliopsida; Fabales; Fabaceae.